Molecule: ribosomal RNA, 440 nt
Filed under: uncultured bacterium
Lineage: Bacteria
Description: partial 16S ribosomal RNA
Rfam family: Bacterial small subunit ribosomal RNA
Source: RNAcentral
CCUACGGGGGGCAGCAGUGGGGAAUAUUGCACAAUGGGGGAAACCCUGAUGCAGCGACGCCGCGUGAAGGAAGAAGUAUUUCGGUAUGUAAACUUCUAUCAGCAGGGAAGAAAAUGACGGUACCUGACUAAGAAGCCCCGGCUAACUACGUGCCAGCAGCCACGGUCAUACGUAGGGGGCAAGCGUUAUCCGGAUUUACUGGGUGAAAGGGGAGCGUAGGCGGCGGUGUAAGUCAGAAGUGAAAGCCCGGGGCUCAACGCCGGGACUGCUUUUGAAACUGGGUUGCUAGAUUGCAGGAGAGGUGAGUGGAAUUCCUAGUGUAGCGGUGAAAUGCGUAGAGAUGAGGAGGAACACCAGUGGCGAAGGCGGCUUACUGGACUGUAAAUGACGCUGAGGCUCGAAAGCGUGGGGAGCAAACAGGAUUAGAUACCCCAGUAGUC